Molecule: ribosomal RNA, 854 nt
Filed under: Halomicrobium sp. HArcht-Cr
Lineage: Archaea; Methanobacteriati; Methanobacteriota; Halobacteria; Halobacteriales; Haloarculaceae
Description: bacterial SSU rRNA
Rfam family: Archaeal small subunit ribosomal RNA
Source: RNAcentral
UGCUAGUUCGCACGGGCUUAGACCCGUGGCGUAUAGCUCAGUAACACGUGGCCAAACUACCCUAUAGACCAUGAUAACCUCGGGAAACUGAGGCUAAUCGUGGAUAUCGCAUUCACGCUUGAACUGCCGAAUGCGAGAAACGUUCCGGCGCUAUAGGAUGUGGUUGCGGCCGAUUAGGUAGACGGUGGGGUAACGGCCCACCGUGCCAGUAAUCGGUACGGGUGGUGACAGCCAGAACCCGGAGACGGUAUCUGAGACAAGAUACCGGGCCCUACGGGGCGCAGCAGGCGCGAAACCUUUACACUGCACGACAGUGCGAUAGGGGGACUCCGAGUGCGAGGGCAUAUAGCCCUCGCUUUUCUCGACCGUAAGGUGGUCGACGAAUAAGGACUGGGCAAGACCGGUGCCAGCCGCCGCGGUAAUACCGGCAGUCCGAGUGAUGGCCGCUGUUAUUGGGCCUAAAGCGUCCGUAGCUUGCCGUGAAAGUCUAUCGGGAAAUCGACGUGCUCAACGCGUCGGCUUCCGGUGGAAACUGCACGGCUUGGGGCCGGAAGACUCAGCGGGUACGUCCGGGGUAGGAGUGAAAUCCUGUAAUCCUGGACGGACCACCAAUGGCGAAAGCACGCUGAGAAGCCGGACCCGACAGUGAGGGACGAAAGCCAGGGUCUCGAACCGGAUUAGAUACCCGGGUAGUCCUGGCCGUAAACGAUGCUCGUUAGGUCUGCCGUGCACUACGAGUGCACGGUGAGCCGAAGUGAAGACGAUAAACGAGCCGCCUGGGAAGUACGUCCGCAAGGAUGAAACUUAAAGGAAUUGGCGGGGGAGCACCACAACCGGGAGGAGCCUGCGGGUUU